UACAGAGGUGCCAAGCGUUAGGCGGAAUCACUGGGCUUAAAGCGCGCGUAGGCGGAUGUUUAAGUGUCUUGUGAAAUCCCACGGCUCAACCGUGGAACUGCUGGGCAUACUGGACAUCUCGAGGCACUCAGGGGCGAGCGGAACAAGUGGUGGAGCGGUGAAAUGCGUAGAUAUCUGGAGGAACACCGGUGGCGAAGGCGGCAUCCUGGACCAAUAUUGACGCUGAGGAGCGAAAGCCAGGGGAGCAAACGGG
RNAcentral lists this ribosomal RNA (253 nucleotides) under uncultured bacterium. Its description in RNAcentral is "partial 16S ribosomal RNA". It matches the Rfam family "Bacterial small subunit ribosomal RNA", at positions 524 to 776 of the family's 1533-position model. The record is from RNAcentral.